This 1374-nucleotide ribosomal RNA is filed under the name uncultured bacterium. Its description in RNAcentral is "bacterial SSU rRNA". It matches the Rfam family "Bacterial small subunit ribosomal RNA", at positions 26 to 1381 of the family's 1533-position model. The record is from RNAcentral.
GGGAUGAACGCUGGCGGCGUGCCUAAUACAUGCAAGUCGAGCGAACGGACGAGAAGCUUGCUUCUCUGAUGUUAGCGGCGGACGGGUGAGUAACACGUGGAUAACCUACCUAUAAGACUGGGAUAACUUCGGGAAACCGGAGCUAAUACCGGGUGAUAUUUUGAACCGCAUGGUUCAAAAGUGAAAGACGGUCUUGCUGUCACUUAUAGAUGGAUCCGCGCUGCAUUAGCUAGUUGGUAAGGUAACGGCUUACCAAGGCAACGAUGCAUAGCCGACCUGAGAGGGUGAUCGGCCACACUGGAACUGAGACACGGUCCAGACUCCUACGGGAGGCAGCAGUAGGGAAUCUUCCGCAAUGGGCGAAAGCCUGACGGAGCAACGCCGCGUGAGUGAUGAAGGUCUUCGGAUCGUAAAACUCUGUUAUUAGGGAAGAACAUAUGUGUAAGUAACUGUGCACAUCUUGACGGUACCUAAUCAGAAAGCCACGGCUAACUACGUGCCAGCAGCCGCGGUAAUACGUAGGUGGCAAGCGUUAUCCGGAAUUAUUGGGCGUAAAGCGCGCGUAGGCGGUUUUUUAAGUCUGAUGUGAAAGCCCACGGCUCAACCGUGGAGGGUCAUUGGAAACUGGAAAACUUGAGUGCAGAAGAGGAAAGUGGAAUUCCAUGUGUAGCGGUGAAAUGCGCAGAGAUAUGGAGGAACACCAGUGGCGAAGGCGACUUUCUGGUCUGUAACUGACGCUGAUGUGCGAAAGCGUGGGGAUCAAACAGGAUUAGAUACCCUGGUAGUCCACGCCGUAAACGAUGAGUGCUAAGUGUUAGGGGGUUUCCGCCCCUUAGUGCUGCAGCUAACGCAUUAAGCACUCCGCCUGGGGAGUACGACCGCAAGGUUGAAACUCAAGGGAAUUGACGGGGACCCGCACAAGCGGUGGAGCAUGUGGUUUAAUUCGAAGCAACGCGAAGAACCUUACCAAAUCUUGACAUCCUUUGACAACUCUAGAGAUAGAGCCUUCCCCUUCGGGGGACAAAGUGACAGGUGGUGCAUGGUUGUCGUCAGCUCGUGUCGUGAGAUGUUGGGUUAAGUCCCGCAACGAGCGCAACCCUUAAGCUUAGUUGCCAUCAUUAAGUUGGGCACUCUAAGUUGACUGCCGGUGACAAACCGGAGGAAGGUGGGGAUGACGUCAAAUCAUCAUGCCCCUUAUGAUUUGGGCUACACACGUGCUACAAUGGACAAUACAAAGGGCAGCGAAACCGCGAGGUCAAGCAAAUCCCAUAAAGUUGUUCUCAGUUCGGAUUGUAGUCUGCAACUCGACUACAUGAAGCUGGAAUCGCUAGUAAUCGUAGAUCAGCAUGCUACGGUGAAUACGUUCCCGGGUCU